This 108-nucleotide unclassified non-coding RNA is filed under the name Peribacillus simplex. RNAcentral's name for it is "Bacillus simplex yybP-ykoY". The record is from RNAcentral. Lineage: Bacteria; Bacillati; Bacillota; Bacilli; Caryophanales; Bacillaceae.
UCCUUCUGUUAAGGGGAGUAGCUAUACAAUAAAGUCGUCAGUACAGGAUUGAAUCCUCGGCUUUAUUGGCAACUGAUUUUAGUUGUUUGCAAGACCUUGCCGAUUAUU